This 377-nucleotide ribosomal RNA is filed under the name uncultured bacterium. Its description in RNAcentral is "bacterial SSU rRNA". It matches the Rfam family "Bacterial small subunit ribosomal RNA", at positions 521 to 896 of the family's 1533-position model. The record is from RNAcentral.
UAAUACGUAGGAUGCAAGCGUUGUUCGGAAUUACUGGGCGUAAAGAGUACGUAGGCGGUUUGAUAAGUCUGAUAUUAAAUACAGAAGCUUAACUUCUGAACUGUAUCGGAAACUGUCAGACUAGAGGACAAUAGAGGAAGUGGGAAUUCUCAGUGUAGCGGUGAAAUGCGUAGAUAUUGGGAAGAACACCAGUGGCGAAAGCGCACUUCUGGGUUGUUACUGACGCUGAGGUACGAAAGCGUGGGGAGCAAACGGGAUUAGAUACCCCGGUAGUCCACGCUGUAAACGAUGGAUACUAGGUGUAGCCGGUCUCGACCCCGGCUGUGCCGUAGCUAACGCAAUAAGUAUCCCGCCUGGGGAGUAUGGCCGCAAGGUUG